UUCUUCCUCCCUCUCCUCGCAUCGGCCCCUUUGGUUCCUUCACGCACUAGAUCGGCUCGCCAUGGUCGUCAAGGUAGUCGCGGCCACCGGCCUCCCCAAGCCUUGAGGCCGCGUCCAGGAGGACCGCCGCUAUCGACCUCGUCCAUCCCGAGCAUCAACUCGAGUGGAGCCGCCCUUUACACUCGCCAUCGCCACCAUCUUCACUUUGUACAUCGUCGUCGUCCGCCGCCGAUUCCCGCCACUCCGGUCCACCUCCGACCUCCCCGACUUCGUCAUCGAGCUUGCAACGAUGAAGCCCAGGAGCCAGACGCCACUGUCGAUGAUGACUACUACUACUCGAGAGGUGCCUACUACUACGUGCAGCCCGCUGACGACGACCAGGAGUAGUUUAGGAGGAUCCUGGGCAGAAGGCAUGCGCCUCUUUUGAUCUGUAUCCCAGUUUGUGCUAGCCUUUUUAAGGCAAACAUGUUUAACUUAUGUCUGUACUCAGAUAUUGUUGCUUUCGCUGACUCGUCUAUGAUUGAGCUCUUGUAUUCGAGCCCUUGAGGCCCCUGGC
Molecule: ribosomal RNA, 556 nt
Filed under: Triticum aestivum (bread wheat)
Lineage: Eukaryota; Viridiplantae; Streptophyta; Magnoliopsida; Poales; Poaceae
Description: partial small subunit ribosomal RNA
Source: RNAcentral